RNAcentral lists this transfer RNA (65 nucleotides) under Cofana yasumatsui. RNAcentral's name for it is "tRNA-Gly". Lineage: Eukaryota; Metazoa; Arthropoda; Insecta; Hemiptera; Cicadellidae. The record is from RNAcentral.
AUUCAUUUAUUAUAUAAAGUAUAGCAAGCUUCCAACUUGAAGGAUUUAAAAAAUUAAAAUGAAUA